ACGAACGCUGGCGGCGUGCUUAACACAUGCAAGUCGAACGGAAAGGCCCUGCUUGCAGGGUACUCGAGUGGCGAACGGGUGAGUAACACGUGGGUGAUCUGCCCUGCACUUCGGGAUAAGCUUGGGAAACUGGGUCUAAUACCGGAUAGGAACCAUCUUUAGUGUGGUGGUUGGAAAGUUUUUUCGGUGUAGGAUGAGCUCGCGGCCUAUCAGCUUGUUGGUGGGGUAAUGGCCUACCAAGGCGGCGACGGGUAGCCGGCCUGAGAGGGUGUACGGCCACAUUGGGACUGAGAGACGGCCCAGACUCCUACGGGAGGCAGCAGUGGGGAAUAUUGCACAAUGGGCGCAAGCCUGAUGCAGCGACGCCGCGUGGGGGAUGAAGGCCUUCGGGUUGUAAACUCCUUUCGCUAGGGACGAAGCUUUGUUGUGACGGUACCUAGAUAAGAAGCACCGGCUAACUACGUG
This 465-nucleotide ribosomal RNA is filed under the name uncultured bacterium. RNAcentral's name for it is "partial 16S ribosomal RNA". It matches the Rfam family "Bacterial small subunit ribosomal RNA", at positions 29 to 507 of the family's 1533-position model. The record is from RNAcentral.